Papaver somniferum (opium poppy) is the source of this 947-nucleotide long non-coding RNA. RefSeq lists it as uncharacterized. The record is from RefSeq and is a predicted model, not a curated record. Lineage: Eukaryota; Viridiplantae; Streptophyta; Magnoliopsida; Ranunculales; Papaveraceae. The transcript is spliced from 3 exons.
UUCUUUCAUCUUCUUCUCUUCUCCUCCGUUAUGAUCGAAGCUUUUGGCAGAUUUCCACCAAAAUUAGUUUCUUUAUUUCAUUGAUUUGUUUUUCAAUCGUAUCAUUCAGUCAUAUAAAAGUUGAAGAGAGAAUUGUUGAGUUUUCUUCCUCUUCGGAGUUUAUACGACUGAGUACUACGAAACCCUUACCCUGAAUCACCGAAAUACACGCACAAUUUUACAUGUUUCUUUACCUUCUCAAACCAUAGCUGUUCAGACUUAGCCGUAUAAUGAACCUGAUUUUCGUUCUACCUUCUAAAACCCAACUUCCAUUUUGUUUUUUCUCUAUAGAAGUUGAAGGUGUUUAUUGGCAAUUGAUGGUGUCCUGACUCUUACAAGGCAUGAAAAUCCUGCGGAGCUUGGUGGGAAGAUGAUAGCUAUGGCUCUCUUAAGAAAAUGGUCCCUGAUGGAGUCAACAGAGUAACAUGAGCAUUGGUCCAGAGGCUGCUAUUGAAGCAGAGGAAAUCGAAUCGGUUGAAGCUGGCUCCGGUCAGAAAUGAUGUGACUUGAGUCACUUCCUGGUAAGUCCCGUUUUGUGAAGUAGAGCAGCGUACUGGUGAUAUAUAAAUAGUAGAGGAAGUUAGUAAGUUCAUUCUGUUACCAAAUCUUUAGUGGGAGCACAAUAAAAAGUGUAAAGGGACUAUCUCCCUAUCCUCUUUUUCUGUUGGGCACCGGAAACCUAUUAGGAAAUGUGAAUUGAACUAUAACAAAGAAAGUUAAAAAAAAAGAAAUCCCGAUUGUGUAAAGUUGAGUCAAGUAUCCCCUUAAUCGAUGUCAUAAUAUGGUUGCUAAAAUGCUAACGAACCAGACCUAAGUAGACAUAAACUCACUAUUAAGAUAAAAUACUACUACCUCCGUUUACACACAAACCUACCUAUAUUUUAGAGACCGAGGGAAUAAUAUAGAGG